GACGAACGCUGGCGGCGUGCCUAAUACAUGCAAGUCGAGCGGGGAUGCUUCCGGAAGCCCUUCGGGGCGGAAGGCUGCAUCCUAGCGGCGGACGGGUGAGUAACGCGUAGGGAACCUGCC
RNAcentral lists this ribosomal RNA (120 nucleotides) under uncultured bacterium. RNAcentral describes it as "partial 16S ribosomal RNA". It matches the Rfam family "Bacterial small subunit ribosomal RNA", at positions 28 to 130 of the family's 1533-position model. The record is from RNAcentral.